UGGCAUAAGCCAGCUUGACUGCGAGCGUGACGGCGCGAGCAGGUGCGAAAGCAGGUCAUAGUGAUCCGGUGGUUCUGAAUGGAAGGGCCAUCGCUCAACGGAUAAAAGGUACUCCGGGGAUAACAGGCUGAUACCGCCCAAGAGUUCAUAUCGACGGCGGUGUUUGGCACCUCGAUGUCGGCUCAUCACAUCCUGGGGCUGAAGUAGGUCCCAAGGGUAUGGCUGUUCGCCAUUUAAAGUGGUACGCGAGCUGGGUUUAGAACGUCGUGAGACAGUUCGGUCCCUAUCUGCCGUGGGCGCUGGAGAACUGAGGGGGGCUGCUCCUAGUACGAGAGGACCGGAGUGGACGCAUCACUGGUGUUCGGGUUGUCAUGCCAAUGGCACUGCCCGGUAGCUAAAUGCGGAAGAGAUAAGUGCUGAAAGCAUCUAAGCACGAAACUUGCCCCGAGAUGAGUUCUCCCUGAGACUUAGAGUCUCCUGAAGGAACGUUGAAGACGACGACGUUGAUAGGCCGGGUGUGUAAGCGCAGCGAUGCGUUGAGCUAACCGGUACUAAUGAACCGUGAGGCUUAACCUU
Molecule: ribosomal RNA, 576 nt
Filed under: Escherichia coli
Lineage: Bacteria; Pseudomonadati; Pseudomonadota; Gammaproteobacteria; Enterobacterales; Enterobacteriaceae
Also listed under: 2 other names
Description: partial 23S ribosomal RNA
Rfam family: Bacterial large subunit ribosomal RNA
Source: RNAcentral